RNAcentral lists this ribosomal RNA (450 nucleotides) under uncultured bacterium. Its description in RNAcentral is "partial 16S ribosomal RNA". It matches the Rfam family "Bacterial small subunit ribosomal RNA", at positions 338 to 795 of the family's 1533-position model. The record is from RNAcentral.
CCUACGGGUGGCUGCAGUAAGGAAUAUUGGUCAAUGGACGCAAGUCUGAACCAGCCAUGCCGCGUGGAGGAUGAAGGUCCUCUGGAUUGUAAACUUCUUUUAUUUGGGAAGAAACUCCCGCUUUCCAUCGGGAUUGCCGGUACCAGAUGAAUAAGCACCGGCUAACUCCGUGCCAGCAGCCGCGGUAAUACGGAGGGUGCAGGCGUUAUCCGGAUUCAAGGGGUCUAAGGGGGGCAUGUAUGUCCGUGGUGAAAUCUCCGGGCUUAACCCGGAAACUGCCAUUGAUACUAUUUGUCUUGAAUACUCUGGAGGUGAGCGGAAUAUGUCAUGUAGCGGUGAAAUGCUUAGAUAUGACAGAGAACACCCAUUGCGAAGGCAGCUCACUACGGAAAUAUUGACGCUGAGGCACGAAAGCGUGGGGAUCAAACAGGAUUAGAUACCCUGGUAGUC